This 77-nucleotide transfer RNA is filed under the name Mycoplasmataceae bacterium. RNAcentral's name for it is "tRNA-Arg". It matches the Rfam family "tRNA". From Rfam's summary of the family: Transfer RNA (tRNA) molecules are approximately 80 nucleotides in length. Lineage: Bacteria; Bacillati; Mycoplasmatota; Mollicutes; Mycoplasmatales; Mycoplasmataceae. The record is from RNAcentral.
GCAUCUAUAGCUCAGAUGGAUAGAGCACAAGUUUCCUAAACUUGGUGUCAGGAGUUCGAAUCUCUUUAGGUGCGCCA